CAGAUUCACCCGAAAGAGUGCAAGUUGACAUUGGAUUAUGCAUCGAUAACUCCUAAAAAACGAACAGAUAAUAAGGAGGAGCGAACAGGUAUACAAGAACUGAAAUGGCUUAGAGACAACCCUGAACUGACAUCAGUUUAUUAUACACUCCAGUUACAUCGCAGCGUUGCCAGCRGGGAUGUUGACACAGUGACUUUCCAUUUUGCUCCUUCAURCUGAGAGGCCGACAUGAUAACUCAUAUCCURGAGAGGACGGUAURUCAUAAAGAGGACGUUGAAACAAAAUGAAAGUAAAAAGAUAUUCACCCAGAAAACCUUUUAAAGGCACAAUUGUUAUGGGAGAACAUUCCCCUGGAACUUUUGCACUGUUGUUAUAAUUUCAGGCUUUCUAUGUAGGUCAUUCUCAUUCUGUCAAAUAGGGGCCUCGAUGACAUCCACUGAUACGGAUCAAUUCAAUAGCUAUGCAUUGAGUAAAUAGCAGGAUCAGGAUAAUCUCUCUUUUCAAGUGCCUUUUGUCCCAUAUCCCAAUGUAUAGGUUAAAACAAAUGGAACAUAUAUUUUAAUCCAAUUCACUAGCGUGUUUGCUAUGCUAUUGCUGUGCCAAAGCUUCUUUUCAGUACUGUCUGUUCUGUUGUUUCAAUGUAGGUUCCUCCCCUGUAUCUUUUUAUAGCUGGUCAUUGUUUAGCUUGCCGGUGGAUAGCAGCUGUGUACAUAAUAUCAAAAGAGCAGGCGUUUGAGAUAAAGCCACCUACUCCUUAGAACCAAUCGCUGUUAGGCUCCUUUAGACACAAAAGGUCCAUAGAUACAUUUUUUCAUGUAUGUUGUAUUGAAACAUUUGUGAGGGAUUGAUCUUGAUUUGUUGUUUGAUCUUGAGUGACAUUUUAUUGCUUUUCGCAAUAUUUAAGGCUGGGCUAAAUUGUAGCUGUUAAUUUAGCUCAUUUUUUAAUUAUGAUGGACCAUUUAAUGAUUACCCCUAUCUAUGUAGCACAUCAACCCUUCAUUAGAUAUUUGAUGGUGUAGCUACUUUAUUUAUGGCCUGUAUUUGUCCCAUAUAAAUAUGAUUCCAUAGCUACACUGGGGUCGGCACAUUUAAAACUGUAAACUGUCAUUCUCUUUUUGCUGUCUGUAUACCAAUUGUGUAAAUGUGAAUAUACAAACACAGUUCAUAAAUAGUAAUACCAGCAUUGCACCUGAGAUGUUAAUGAAUUAAAGUACUGUAUAUCAAUAACAUUUGUGUGUUAACUGCGGAGGCAUUGCCUUUGCUUUUGAACAAUGUAACGCAGUCCUCACAAUAAAGAAAAUCAAACCAUCCACAAUAAUUA
Non-coding RNA from Salvelinus sp. IW2-2015, 1322 nucleotides. The record is from RefSeq and is a predicted model, not a curated record. Lineage: Eukaryota; Metazoa; Chordata; Actinopteri; Salmoniformes; Salmonidae.